AGAACGAACGCUGGCGGCAGGCCUCAAACAUGCAAGUCUAGGGGGUGUAGCAAUACAUCACCGGCGGACGGGUGCGUAACACGUGGGAAUAUACCUUUUGGUUCGGAACAACGCAGGGAAACUUGCGCUAAUACCGAAUGUGUCCUUACGGAGAAAGAUUUAUCGCCAAAGGAUUAGCCCGCGUCCGAUUAGCUAGUUGGUGAGGUAAUGGCUCACCAAGGCUCCGAUCGGUAGCUGUUCUGAGAGGAAGAUCAGCCACACUGGGACUGAGACACGGCCCAGACUCCUACGGGAGGCAGCAGUUGGGAAUCUUGGACAAUGGGGAAACCCUGAUCCAGCCAUGCCGCGUGAGUGAUGAAGGCCUUCGGGUUGUAAAACUCUUUCGACGGGACGAUAAUGACGGUACCCGUAGAAGAAGCUCCGGCUAACUUCGUGCCAGCAGCCGC
This 446-nucleotide ribosomal RNA is filed under the name uncultured bacterium. Its description in RNAcentral is "SSU rRNA". It matches the Rfam family "Bacterial small subunit ribosomal RNA", at positions 26 to 518 of the family's 1533-position model. The record is from RNAcentral.